UACGAAGGGUGCAAGCGUUACUCGGAAUCACUGGGCUUAAAGCGUUUGUAGGUCGUUUGGUAAGUUUGAUGUGAAAGCCCACCGCUCAAGGUGGAAGUGCAUUGAAUACUGCCUGACUAGAGUAUAGGAGAGGUGGACGGAAUUCCUGGUGUAGAGGUGAAAUUCGUAGAUAUCAGGAGGAACAACGGAGGCGAAGGCGGUCCACUGGACUAUUACUGACACUGAAAAACGAAAGUGUGGGGAGCAAACAGG
RNAcentral lists this ribosomal RNA (252 nucleotides) under uncultured bacterium. Its description in RNAcentral is "partial 16S ribosomal RNA". It matches the Rfam family "Bacterial small subunit ribosomal RNA", at positions 524 to 776 of the family's 1533-position model. The record is from RNAcentral.